CUAGCUGUAAACGAUGGAUACUAGGCGUUGAGAGUAUCGACCCUCUCAGUAUCGUAGCUAACGCGUUAAGUAUCCCGCCUGGGGAGUACGCGCGCAAGCGUGAAACUCAAAGGAAUUGACGGGGGCCCGCACAAGCGGUGGAGUAUGUGGUUUAAUUCGAUGCAACGCGAAGAACCUUACCAGGGCUUGACAUGUCCGGAACCCUGCCCAAAGGCGGGGGUGCCUACGGGAACCGGAACACAGGUGGUGC
Molecule: ribosomal RNA, 250 nt
Filed under: uncultured Chroococcidiopsis sp.
Lineage: Bacteria; Bacillati; Cyanobacteriota; Cyanophyceae; Chroococcidiopsidales; Chroococcidiopsidaceae
Description: partial 16S ribosomal RNA
Rfam family: Bacterial small subunit ribosomal RNA
Source: RNAcentral